Molecule: long non-coding RNA, 979 nt
Filed under: Ananas comosus (pineapple)
Lineage: Eukaryota; Viridiplantae; Streptophyta; Magnoliopsida; Poales; Bromeliaceae
Description: long non-coding RNA (ACOM_LNC000418)
Source: RNAcentral
UCCCAUAGGGGUGCACUGAUAACAUUUUUCAUUUUAGAAUAUGAUAAAUUACACUUUUGGUUUUCAAAUUAUGAGAUGCGUGACAUUUUAGUCCUCAAAUUUUAUUUUCUUAUAAUUUUUGGUUUGAACCUAUUGAAUUAUUGCAGUAAAGUCUCACAUUCCAAUUUAGUUGCUCAAAUCUUAUCAAAUUAUUGAUAUAAAAGUGAUAUAAUAUUUUAAUUAUUGUUGCAUCAUUAAUCACAGUACUUCCACAUCACUUCUACAUCAAACAUUUAUCAAUAUUUAGCUAAGUAAAUUAGUUGUGGGAUUUGAUUGGAAAAAGCUAUGUAAAUUAAAGUUCGAGGACCAUAGUGCCAUGCUCCUCAUAGUUUGAGGACCAAAAGUGCAAUUUACCUUUUAGAAUAUUACUGACGGCAUCUGGCGCAGUUGGCUAAGGAUUUGAUAGUUAGUAUCUGUGAUCGUAAGUUUGAAAUCUAGCUGCUUUAUAAUUUUAGUUGAAAUUAUUUCUAAACAAAUAAACAAAAUGAGUAACAAAUUAUCAGUCUCUUAAAAAAAUAUUUAGAAUAUUUUUGUUAAGGUAAUUUUGUAUAUGUUGAGUAAGAUGGGCUUUCGAGAGGCCUUUUGUGUAAGGAUAUUAAAGCUAAUGCAUACAUUGAAGUUGAGAAGUCUUUUUGCUAUUUAUUAGUAAUCUAUAAUUAAGUUUGAUUUAUGAUUAAGGUUUCACGCUUGAAAUCUAUUGGUUUUGUCUAAAAAAUCUCUUCUUUUUUUUUUUUUUUUUGUUUUGAGAGACAGGUAGCACGCUACCCGCUUCGUUUAUUUCAUUUAGAAAUAAACUUAGCUUGAAAUGUGAAUCAACUAGGAUUCGAACUUGGGUCUCGGAUACCAACCACCAAGCCCUUUGCCACUUGCUCUAGGGAUAGUCGGUCUAAAAAAUCUAUUAGUUUUAGCUCUAUUAUAUCUUAUAUAUAGAACUAUCAGG